This 497-nucleotide ribosomal RNA is filed under the name uncultured bacterium. RNAcentral describes it as "partial 16S ribosomal RNA". It matches the Rfam family "Bacterial small subunit ribosomal RNA", at positions 28 to 507 of the family's 1533-position model. The record is from RNAcentral.
GAUGAACGCUGGCGGCGUGCCUAAUACAUGCAAGUCGAGCGAACGGACGAGAAGCUUGCUUCUCUGAUGUUAGCGGCGGACGGGUGAGUAACACGUGUAUCACCUACCUAUAAGACUGGGAUCACUUCGGGAAACCGGCGCUAAUACCGGAUAAUCUUUUGAACCGCAUUGUUCAAAAGUGAAAUACGGUCUUGCUGUCACUUCUAGAUGGAUCCGCGCUGCAUUAGCUAGUUGGUAAGGUAACGGCUUACCAAGGCAACGAUGCAUAGCCGACCUGAGAGAGUGAUCGGCCACACGGGAACUGAGACACGGUCCAGACGCCUAAGGGAGGCAGCAGUAGGGAACGUUCCGCAAUGGGCGAAAGCCUGACGGAGCAACGCCGCGUGAGUGAUGAAGGUCUUCGGAGCGUAAAACUCUGUUAUUAGGGAAGAACAUAUGUGUAAGUAACUGUGCACAGAUUGACGGUACCUAAUCAGAAAGCCACGGCUAACUACGUG